ACACUCCUACGGGAGGCAGCAGUGGGGAAUAUUGGACAAUGGGCGCAAGCCUGAUCCAGCCAUGCCGCGUGAGUGAUGAAGGCCCUAGGGUUGUAAAGCUCUUUCACCGGUGAAGAUAAUGACGGUAACCGGAGAAGAAGCCCCGGCUAACUUCGUGCCAGCAGCCGCGGUAAUACGAAGGGGGCUAGCGUUGUUCGGAUUUACUGGGCGUAAAGCGCACGUAGGCGGACUAUUAAGUCAGGGGUGAAAUCCCGGGGCUCAACCCCGGAACUGCCUUUGAUACUGGUAGUCUUGAGUUCGAGAGAGGUGAGUGGAAUUUCGAGUGUAGAGGUGAAAUUCGUAGAUAUUCGGAGGAACACCAGUGGCGAAGGCGGCUCACUGGCUCGAUACUGACGCUGAGGUGCGAAAGCGUGGGGAGCAAACAGGAUUAGAAACCCUAGUAGUCCCA
Molecule: ribosomal RNA, 448 nt
Filed under: uncultured organism
Description: partial 16S ribosomal RNA
Rfam family: Bacterial small subunit ribosomal RNA
Source: RNAcentral